This 206-nucleotide ribosomal RNA is filed under the name uncultured bacterium. Its description in RNAcentral is "partial 16S ribosomal RNA". It matches the Rfam family "Bacterial small subunit ribosomal RNA", at positions 568 to 774 of the family's 1533-position model. The record is from RNAcentral.
UGUGUAGGCGGUUCUCUAAGUUCGGUGUGAAAUCUCCCGGCUCAACUGGGAGGGUGCGCCGGAAACUGGAGGGCUUGAGUAUGGGAGAGGAAAGCGGAAUUCCUGGUGUAGCGGUGAAAUGCGUAGAUAUCAGGAGGAACACCUGCGGUGUAGACAGCUUUCUGGACCAUCACUGACGCUGAGACACGAAAGCGUGGUAGCAAACA